GACGAACGCUGGCGGCGUGCUUAACACAUGCAAGUCGAACGGAAAGGCCCUGCUUUUGUGGGGUGCUCGAGUGGCGAACGGGUGAGUAACACGUGAGUAACCUGCCCUUGACUUUGGGAUAACUUCAGGAAACUGGGGCUAAUACCGGAUAGGAGCUCCUGCUGCAUGGUGGGGGUUGGAAAGUUUCGGCGGUUGGGGAUGGACUCGCGGCUUAUCAGCUUGUUGGUGGGGUAGUGGCUUACCAAGGCUUUGACGGGUAGCCGGCCUGAGAGGGUGACCGGCCACAUUGGGACUGAGAUACGGCCCAGACUCCUACGGGAGGCAGCAGUGGGGAAUAUUGCACAAUGGGCGGAAGCCUGAUGCAGCAACGCCGCGUGCGGGAUGACGGCCUUCGGGUUGUAAACCGCUUUCGCCUGUGACGAAGCGUGAGUGACGGUAAUGGGUAAAGAAGCACCGGCUAACUACGUGCCAGCAGCCGCGGUGAUACGUAGGGUGCGAGCGUUGUCCGGAUUUAUUGGGCGUAAAGGGCUCGUAGGUGGUUGAUCGCGUCGGAAGUGUAAUCUUGGGGCUUAACCCUGAGCGUGCUUUCGAUACGGGUUGACUUGAGGAAGGUAGGGGAGAAUGGAAUUCCUGGUGGAGCGGUGGAAUGCGCAGAUAUCAGGAGGAACACCAGUGGCGAAGGCGGUUCUCUGGGCCUUUCCUGACGCUGAGGAGCGAAAGCGUGGGGAGCGAACAGGCUUAGAUACCCUGGUAGUCCACGCUGUAAACGGUGGGUACUAGGUGUGGGGUCCAUUCCACGGGUUCCGUGCCGUAGCUAACGCUUUAAGUACCCCGCCUGGGGAGUACGGCCGCAAGGCUAAAACUCAAAGGAAUCGACGGGGCCCCGCACAAGCGGCGGAGCAUGCGGAUUAAUUCGAUGCAACGCGUAGAACCUUACCUGGGUUUGACAUGGAUCGGGAGUGCUCAGAGAUGGGUGUGCCUCUUUUGGGGUCGGUUCACAGGUGGUGCAUGGCUGUCGUCAGCUCGUGUCGUGAGAUGUUGGGUUAAGUCCCGCAACGAGCGCAACCCUUGUUCACUGUUGCCAGCACGUUAUGGUGGGGACUCAGUGGAGACCGCCGGGGUCAACUCGGAGGAAGGUGGGGAUGACGUCAAGUCAUCAUGCCCCUUAUGUCCAGGGCUUCACGCAUGCUACAAUGGCUGGUACAGAGAGUGGCGAGCCUGUGAGGGUGAGCGAAUCUCGGAAAGCCGGUCUCAGUUCGGAUUGGGGUCUGCAACUCGACCUCAUGAAGUCGGAGUCGCUAGUAAUCGCAGAUCAGCAACGCUGCGGUGAAUACGUUCCCGGG
RNAcentral lists this ribosomal RNA (1343 nucleotides) under uncultured bacterium. RNAcentral's name for it is "16S ribosomal RNA". It matches the Rfam family "Bacterial small subunit ribosomal RNA", at positions 28 to 1378 of the family's 1533-position model. The record is from RNAcentral.